AAGCGGCCAAAGCUCAAUUUGAAAACGCUUCGGCGUGUUGUAAGUAAAGUGGUUAGACGCUUUUUAAUAAGUCCCUUGGAACAGGGCGCCAUAGAGGGUGAUAGCCCCGUAUUAAAUUGUCUAGUGUGCUACUUUAGAGCGAGUCGAGUUGUUUGGGAAUGCAGCUCAAAUAGGUGGUAAACUCCAUCUAAAGCUAAAUAUUGCUGGGAGACCGAUAGCGAACAAGUACAGUGAUGGAAAGAUGAAAAGCACUUUGAAAAGAGAGUGAAAUAGCGUGUGAAAUUGUUGGAGGGGAAGGCGAUGGUAGGAAUAAGAGGCUGCGGUUUGAAAUAAUUGUUUUUCGGGCCACGGUCUCCUGAGCCUGCUUUCGCACCCGUCUUGAAACACGGACCAAGGAGUCUAACGGUAUUGCGAGUGUAUGGGUGUUAAACCCCAACGCGAAA
Molecule: ribosomal RNA, 443 nt
Filed under: Magnusiomyces capitatus
Lineage: Eukaryota; Fungi; Ascomycota; Dipodascomycetes; Dipodascales; Dipodascaceae
Description: eukaryotic LSU rRNA
Rfam family: Eukaryotic large subunit ribosomal RNA
Source: RNAcentral